UCCCUUGUGGCUUAGCAGUUAAGGACUUGGCAUUGUCACUGCUAUGGCUCAGGUUCAAUACCUGGCCUGGGAA
Molecule: non-coding RNA, 73 nt
Organism: Sus scrofa (pig)
Lineage: Eukaryota; Metazoa; Chordata; Mammalia; Artiodactyla; Suidae
Source: Rfam